UGACGCAAAAAUGUUAUCCCAUAUGAUUGGUUUGUGGGACUUCUCUUCCACGGCGGGAACUUCUAGCUCGUUAGUCAGUGCCCCCUCCACCAGAGGAGUACAAGCCCAAGUCUCUAGCCUCUCGUCUGUCUGACAAGUUCCAGACCUCCCUCACCUCCGACCAGGAGAAGGAUGAUGACUUCCAGCCUGAUAGGAAGUGCAUCCACACCCCACCCAUGGAACAGAAAGGAGGUGCUUGGAGCAGUGAGUGGUGUUUAUAGAUGAUGAGCCAGAAGGAGAGAGACCAGUGCCUGGAGCACAGACAUGGAAAGUGGAGCUGAAUACCCAGGCACAGACUAUAAACCUACCCCCUGAUACACACUGCUGAGUGAGUACAUCUAUCUAAACUAAGGAUAUGUUGCCACUUGCUGGGAAGUGCUGAUCUAGGAUCAGCUAAAUUGAUGAACCUUCCCCUCCUG
Oncorhynchus mykiss (rainbow trout) is the source of this 458-nucleotide non-coding RNA. Lineage: Eukaryota; Metazoa; Chordata; Actinopteri; Salmoniformes; Salmonidae. The record is from RefSeq and is a predicted model, not a curated record.